GAUGAACGCUGACAGAAUGCUUAACACAUGCAAGUCUACUUGAACUUCGGUUUGGGUGGCGGACGGGGGAGUAACGCGUAAAGAACUUACCUCACAGUUAGGGACAACAUUUGGAAACGAAUGCUAAUACCGGAUAUCAUGAGUUUAGGGCAUCCUAAGAUUAUGAAAGCCAUAUGCGCUGUGAGAGAGCUUUGCGUCCCAUUAGCUAGUUGGAGAGGUAACGGCUCACCAAGGCGAGGAUGGGUAGCCGGCCUGAGAGGGUGAACGGCCACAAGGGGACUGAGACACCGCCCGUACUCCUUCGUGAGGCAUCAGUGGAGAAUAGUGGAAGACAGACCAAAAGUCUGAUCCAGCAAUUCUGUGUGCACAAUGACGUUUUUCGGAAUGUAAAGCGCUUUCAGUUGGGAAGAAAGAAAUGACGGUACCAACAGAAGAAGUGACGGCUAAAUACGUG
RNAcentral lists this ribosomal RNA (454 nucleotides) under uncultured bacterium. Its description in RNAcentral is "partial 16S ribosomal RNA". It matches the Rfam family "Bacterial small subunit ribosomal RNA", at positions 28 to 507 of the family's 1533-position model. The record is from RNAcentral.